GAUGAACGCUGGCGGCGUGCCUAAUACAUGCCAGUCGAGCGAACAGAUAAGGAGCUUGCUCCUUUGACGUUAGCGGCGGACGGGUGAGUAACACGUGGGUAACCUACCUAUAAGACUGGGAUAACUUCGGGAAACCGGAGCUAAUACCGGAUAACAUUUGGAACCGCAUGGUUCUAAAGUGAAAGAUGGUUUUGCUAUCACUUAUAGAUGGACCCGCGCCGUAUUAGCUAGUUGGUAAGGUAACGGCUUACCAAGGCAACGAUACGUAGCCGACCUGAGAGGGUGAUCGGCCACACUGGAACUGAGACACGGUCCAGACUCCUACGGGAGGCAGCAGUAGGGAAUCUUCCGCAAUGGGCGAAAGCCUGACGGAGCAACGCCGCGUGAGUGAUGAAGGGUUUCGGCUCGUAAAACUCUGUUAUUAGGGAGGAACAAACGUGUAAGUAACUGUGCACGUCUUGACGGUACCUAAUCAGAAAGCCACGGCUAACUACGUG
This 497-nucleotide ribosomal RNA is filed under the name uncultured bacterium. Its description in RNAcentral is "partial 16S ribosomal RNA". It matches the Rfam family "Bacterial small subunit ribosomal RNA", at positions 28 to 507 of the family's 1533-position model. The record is from RNAcentral.